ACUCAUACAAGUACUUGAUUUGAAAUCAAGUUUGUUGUUUUUAUUAACAAUAUGGGUU
RNAcentral lists this transfer RNA (58 nucleotides) under Hydatigera parva. Its description in RNAcentral is "tRNA-Ser (UCN)". Lineage: Eukaryota; Metazoa; Platyhelminthes; Cestoda; Cyclophyllidea; Taeniidae. The record is from RNAcentral.